CAGCGCGGUGGCGGACGGGAAACGCCGCCGCCAGAUCAGCGGCAGGGGUACCGCGACGGUCCAGAGGAGCUGUUCGAAGCCGGACGGCGGUGGCC
This 95-nucleotide transfer RNA is filed under the name Micromonospora qiuiae. RNAcentral's name for it is "tRNA-Ile". Lineage: Bacteria; Bacillati; Actinomycetota; Actinomycetes; Micromonosporales; Micromonosporaceae. The record is from RNAcentral.